This 505-nucleotide ribosomal RNA is filed under the name uncultured bacterium. Its description in RNAcentral is "partial 16S ribosomal RNA". It matches the Rfam family "Bacterial small subunit ribosomal RNA", at positions 29 to 523 of the family's 1533-position model. The record is from RNAcentral.
AGUGAACGCUGGCGGUAGGCCUAACACAUGCAAGUCGAACGGCAGCACAGGAGAGCUUGCUCUCUGGUGGCGAGUGGCGGACGGGUGAGGAAUACAUCGGAAUCUACUCUGUCGUGGGGGAUAACGUAGGGAAACUUACGCUAAUACCGCAUACGACCUACGGGUGAAAGCAGGGGGCCUUCGGGCCUUGCGCGAUUGAAUGAGCCGAUGUCGGAUUAGCUAGUUGGCGGGGUAAAGGCCCACCAAGGCGAAGAUCCGUAGCUGGUCUGAGAGGAUGAUCAGCCACACUGGAACUGAGACACGGUCCAGACUCCUACGGGAGGCAGCAGUGGGGAAUAGUGGACAAUGGGCGCAAGCCUGAUCCAGCCAUACCGCGUGGGUGAAGAAGGCCUCCGGGUUGUAAAGCCCUUUUGUUGGGAAAGAAAUCCAGCUGGCUAAUACCCGGUUGGGAUGACGGUACCCAAAGAAUAAGCACCGGCUAACUUCGUGCCAGCCGCCGCGGUAA